This 772-nucleotide ribosomal RNA is filed under the name Lacticaseibacillus paracasei. RNAcentral's name for it is "bacterial SSU rRNA". It matches the Rfam family "Bacterial small subunit ribosomal RNA", at positions 669 to 1440 of the family's 1533-position model. Lineage: Bacteria; Bacillati; Bacillota; Bacilli; Lactobacillales; Lactobacillaceae. The record is from RNAcentral.
CCAUGUGUAGCGGUGAAAUGCGUAGAUAUAUGGAAGAAACACCAGUGGCGAAGGCGGCUGUCUGGUCUGUAACUGACGCUGAGGCUCGAAAGCAUGGGUAGCGAACAGGAUUAGAUACCCUGGUAGUCCAUGCCGUAAACGAUGAAUGCUAGGUGUUGGAGGGUUUCCGCCCUUCAGUGCCGCAGCUAACGCAUUAAGCAUUCCGCCUGGGGAGUACGACCGCAAGGUUGAAACUCAAAGGAAUUGACGGGGGCCCGCACAAGCGGUGGAGCAUGUGGUUUAAUUCGAAGCAACGCGAAGAACCUUACCAGGUCUUGACAUCUUUUGAUCACCUGAGAGAUCAGGUUUCCCCUUCGGGGGCAAAAUGACAGGUGGUGCAUGGUUGUCGUCAGCUCGUGUCGUGAGAUGUUGGGUUAAGUCCCGCAACGAGCGCAACCCUUAUGACUAGUUGCCAGCAUUUAGUUGGGCACUCUAGUAAGACUGCCGGUGACAAACCGGAGGAAGGUGGGGAUGACGUCAAAUCAUCAUGCCCCUUAUGACCUGGGCUACACACGUGCUACAAUGGAUGGUACAACGAGUUGCGAGACCGCGAGGUCAAGCUAAUCUCUUAAAGCCAUUCUCAGUUCGGACUGUAGGCUGCAACUCGCCUACACGAAGUCGGAAUCGCUAGUAAUCGCGGAUCAGCACGCCGCGGUGAAUACGUUCCCGGGCCUUGUACACACCGCCCGUCACACCAUGAGAGUUUGUAACACCCGAAGCCGGUGGCGUAACC